GGAAUGAAGAUCUCUCCUAUUAUGUGAUGCAAUAGUCUCAUUUCAAGGAUAAGACUACGAGCAAUAAUAUCUCCUUCAAUAUCAUCCCGACCCACAAUCACUCUUAAUCCUUCUUUUUUAUCUCCAAAUCUUUCGAGAAUAAUUUCUUAUUAAGAAAUAUGUCUCAAAAGCCAAUCAUCAAUCUGUUGACAGUUAAGCAACUUUAUAUUGUAAUUGAUUUGUUAAUAAAUAAAAUAUAUUUUUGACAUUUUCAUCACAAGUUUUCAUCUUCUAAUGAACUCCAUUGUUGUGAUGAAGUCCUUAGGA
This 306-nucleotide long non-coding RNA is filed under the name Elaeis guineensis (African oil palm). RNAcentral describes it as "long non-coding RNA (EGUI_LNC036691)". Lineage: Eukaryota; Viridiplantae; Streptophyta; Magnoliopsida; Arecales; Arecaceae. The record is from RNAcentral.